AAAACUUUCAACAACGGAUCUCUUGGUUCCGGCAUCGAUGAAGAACGCAGCGAAAUGCGAUACGUAAUGUGAAUUGCAAAUUCAGUGAAUCAUCGAGUCUUUGAACGCACAUUGCGCCCCCUGGUAUUCCGGGGGGCAUGCCUGUCCGAGCGUCAUUUCUGCCCUCAAGCACGGCUUGUGUGUUGGGCCCCGUCCUCCGA
This 200-nucleotide ribosomal RNA is filed under the name Penicillium sp. 0109CI62J6. Its description in RNAcentral is "5.8S ribosomal RNA". The stretch from base 3 to 155 matches the Rfam family "5.8S ribosomal RNA". From Rfam's summary of the family: 5.8S ribosomal RNA (5.8S rRNA) is a component of the large subunit of the eukaryotic ribosome. It is transcribed by RNA polymerase I as part of the 45S precursor that also contains 18S and 28S rRNA. Lineage: Eukaryota; Fungi; Ascomycota; Eurotiomycetes; Eurotiales; Aspergillaceae. The record is from RNAcentral.